This 253-nucleotide ribosomal RNA is filed under the name uncultured bacterium. Its description in RNAcentral is "partial 16S ribosomal RNA". It matches the Rfam family "Bacterial small subunit ribosomal RNA", at positions 524 to 776 of the family's 1533-position model. The record is from RNAcentral.
UACGUAGGGUGCAAGCGUUGUCCGGAAUUAUUGGGCGUAAAGAGCUCGUAGGCGGUCUGUUGCGUCGGCUGUGAAAACCCGGGGCUCAACUCCGGGCCUGCAGCCGAUACGGGCAGACUAGAGUUCGGCAGGGGAGACUGGAAUUCCUGGUGUAGCGGUGAAAUGCGCAGAUAUCAGGAGGAACACCAGCGGCGAAGGCGGCGCUCUGGGCCGGUACUGACGCUGAGGAGCGAAAGCGUGGGGAGCAAACAGG